UCCCUGGAAGAGUAGUGGUUAGGCCACAUCGCUCUCACCACUGUAGCACAGGUUCAAUUCCUGGCCAGGUAG
RNAcentral lists this transfer RNA (72 nucleotides) under Pangasianodon hypophthalmus (striped catfish). RNAcentral's name for it is "tRNA-Glu". Lineage: Eukaryota; Metazoa; Chordata; Actinopteri; Siluriformes; Pangasiidae. The record is from RNAcentral.